CGUACCUCAUACACACACACACCUCAUACACACACACCCACACACCCACACCCACCACUAUCAUAAACUUCUGCUUUUAUUUGGCUGGUAAUAUGUACAAAUGAAUAUUUCUGAUUUGUUAGCUUUCUUGGCAUAUUUCUGUCUAAUUUUUUUAAUCUCUCCUCCUUCUUUUCAGAUAAGAAAAACAUGCUCUCUCUUCUCUAAUGAUUGGACAGACUCCUACUCCAAAACAGAAGAUCUCAACUCUGGAAGAGAACAGAUGCCUUCCACUGUGUGAGCGUAAAUUCAGAGCCUUCCAACUUGACAUUCUCAUCGACAAAUUAUUUAAACAUGACGGCUCUUUUAUAAAGAGUGUUAUCUUAAAAGGAAAGGAAUCAAAGGGCUGAACAUGUUGAAGGGAGGAGAAACAAGACCCCCAGGACUUGUCAAUGGCACACAUGAAAGACAGAAAACACCAGAAGCCAGUCUUCAGCCUGCUGGCCCAGCCAUGGCCACUGUAACGUACGGCUAAACCCCUGCCCCGAUCAGCUCUCAAGGCUCUGAGCCAACUGCCUAGACCGUCUAUUUGAGAUCCCUGAGAGUUUCAACACAGGGCAUGGCUGACCUCUCCACCGUGUCAUUUCCAGUAAUGCGGCCUCACUGAUAGCAGAAGUUCGGAGAGCUCUUGUCAGAGAGGCCAGCUGGCACCAUGUGAGUCUUACCCAGAGGGAAACCUGACAAUCUUCCAGCAUGCUCACCAGACUGGGGCACUGACUUUUGUCACUUGAUUCUCAACUCACAGUCUCAAGAUGCUGGUGCUAAUGUACAUUGCAGCUGACACUGGAGUUUAUUUUUAUAACUGCUCUUGCCUCAGAAAAAGCUCCAUCCCAGUACGACUUCCAGGACAGGGAUGGUCUGGAUGCUGCAGUUAGGACAAUGAUCAUCUCGUUCUCUUAGUGGUUAGGAAUCCUGUGGGCUUAUGGAAUAAGCUCGCUGAAACAGACAGUGACAUCCACGGUGACACUGACCGAAUUGUGCUCCAGUGGCCUAGAGAGUGCCUAUUAUUUAUCUCAUUUCUGUUCUGCAUAAUAACACCAACCAAACCGCUAAUGAAUGAAUAUUAUUACAUGCUUUGGUAGGAACGCAAAGGCAAAUUGGGCUCACUGUAGAGAAUAUCUUGCUCCUCAUUUUGUAUUAAAAUGCCUAGACGCCCCUCAAGAGACCAUGUCAAGGAUGAAAUUUAUCCACUGCCUGCAUUUGCUAAUUUGAAAGAGUUCUGAUUUCAUCUGCCGGGCUUAAUAUAGAAAUUCUUUUAACCUGAACAGAUACACAGAAAUGUGGAAUUUAUUCAAUGCCAUUUUCUUGAUUUAUGUCAGGAAAUAUAUAUGGCUAUGCUGUCAUCUUUUUAUAUAUAGACAUCAAUAUAUAUAAAUAUAUAGAGUCAAGUCAGAAAUUCUGAAACCACAUUGCACUUAGCCCUUACAGCAUAAUGCUUUCCAUAUUCUUCACAGUUUGUUUCCCUGAUCCUUUAGAGAGAGCUACUGUGUUUAAAGUGUAAACCAUUUUUACAGAAAAAAUGUAUUACAAUUCUAUAUGAUAAUUCUCAAAGUUCAGGAAAAUAAUCUGAAAUAAACAUUCUAAAUUGAGG
RNAcentral lists this long non-coding RNA (1627 nucleotides) under Homo sapiens (human). RNAcentral describes it as "HSALNT0324907". Lineage: Eukaryota; Metazoa; Chordata; Mammalia; Primates; Hominidae. The record is from RNAcentral.